This 65-nucleotide transfer RNA is filed under the name Phryganogryllacris xiai. RNAcentral's name for it is "tRNA-His". The record is from RNAcentral. Lineage: Eukaryota; Metazoa; Arthropoda; Insecta; Orthoptera; Gryllacrididae.
ACUUAAAUAGUUUAAAAUAAAAUUUUGGUUUGUGAUAUCAAGGAUAUGUAAUAGCAUUUUAGGUU